Molecule: long non-coding RNA, 267 nt
Filed under: Lathyrus oleraceus (garden pea)
Lineage: Eukaryota; Viridiplantae; Streptophyta; Magnoliopsida; Fabales; Fabaceae
Description: Pisum sativum (pea) long non-coding RNA (PSAT_LNC024038)
Source: RNAcentral
UGUAUUUCAUCUUUUCCUUCCAUUUCCUAAUUUACAAAUAACAAUUCAAAUCUUCAAAAUCCAACUUAAUGCCAUAAACAAGCCAAUGUCAAUUAUUCAAAUGUGGAUUCAAAAACAAAACUUCACAAUACAUUUUUAUACAAGAGAAUCCAAUAUAAAUCCCAGCCCAAUACAACACGGUCCAUAACAUUUGUCCUAUAACUAAUUUAAGCAUUAAUUCCAAUUCCCCUUUUAAUUCCAAUUCAACCCUGAAUUUCCAAGUCCUCA